CCCUUAGAUGUUCUGGGCCGCACGCGCGCUACACUGAUGAACGCAACGAGACCACCUGUACCGAAAGGCAUGGGUAAACUUGUGAAAGUUCAUCGUGAUGGGGAUAGAUUAUUGCAAUUAUUAAUCUUCAACGAGGAAUUCCUAGUAAGCGCGAGUCAUCAGCUCGCGUUGAUUACGUCCCUGCCCUUUGUACACACCGCCCGUCGCUCCUACCGAUUGAAUGGUCCGGUGAAAUCUUCGGAUUGCUGGAUAGGACUUCAUUGACCUAUCUGCGAGAAGUUGCUCGAACCUUAUCAUUUAGAGGAAGGAGAAGUCGUAACA
This 321-nucleotide ribosomal RNA is filed under the name uncultured eukaryote. RNAcentral describes it as "partial 18S ribosomal RNA". It matches the Rfam family "Eukaryotic small subunit ribosomal RNA", at positions 1470 to 1796 of the family's 1831-position model. The record is from RNAcentral.